GACGAACGCUGGCGGCGCGCUUAACACAUGCAAGUCGAGCGAUGAAAUCUUGACAGAACCCUUCGGGGUGAAGAUAAGAUGGAUUAGCGGCGGACGGGUGAGUAACACGUGAGUAACCUGCCUUAGACAUUGGGAUAGCCUCGGGAAACCGGGAUUAAUACCAAAUGAAAUCACAUAUGCACAUGCAUAAAUGAUCAAAGCUCCGGCGGUCUAAGAUGGACUCGCGUCCCAUUAGCUAGCUGGUGAGGUAACGGCCCACCAAGGCGACGAUGGGUAGCCGGCCUGAGAGGGUGAACGGCCACAUUGGAACUGAGAAACGGUCCAAACUCCUACGGGAGGCAGCAGUGGGGAAUAUUGCACAAUGGAGGGAACUCUGAUGCAGCGACGCCGCGUGAACGAAGAAGGCUUUCGAGUCGUAAAGUUCUUUUAUAUGGGAAGAUAAUGACGGUACCAUAAGAAAAAGCCCCGGCUAACUACGUGCCAGCAGCCGCGGUAAUACGUAGGGGGCUAGCGUUGUCCGGAAUCACUGGGCGUAAAGGGUUCGCAGGCGGAAAUGCAAGUCAGGUGUAAAAGGCAGUAGCUUAACUACUGUAAGCAUUUGAAACUGCAUAUCUUGAGAAGAGUAGAGGUAAGUGGAAUUUUUAGUGUAGCGGUGAAAUGCGUAGAUAUUAAAAAGAAUACCGGUGGCGAAGGCGACUUACUGGGCUCAUUCUGACGCUGAGGAACGAAAGCGUGGGUAGCAAACAGG
Molecule: ribosomal RNA, 748 nt
Filed under: uncultured Peptoniphilus sp.
Lineage: Bacteria; Bacillati; Bacillota; Tissierellia; Tissierellales; Peptoniphilaceae
Description: bacterial SSU rRNA
Rfam family: Bacterial small subunit ribosomal RNA
Source: RNAcentral